This 465-nucleotide ribosomal RNA is filed under the name Vreelandella stevensii. RNAcentral describes it as "partial 16S ribosomal RNA". It matches the Rfam family "Bacterial small subunit ribosomal RNA", at positions 338 to 795 of the family's 1533-position model. The record is from RNAcentral. Lineage: Bacteria; Pseudomonadati; Pseudomonadota; Gammaproteobacteria; Oceanospirillales; Halomonadaceae.
CCUACGGGCGGCAGCAGUGGGGAAUAUUGGACAAUGGGGGGAACCCUGAUCCAGCCAUGCCGCGUGUGUGAAGAAGGCCCUCGGGUUGUAAAGCACUUUCAGUGAGGAAGAACGCCUGGUGGUUAAUACCCAUCAGGAAAGACAUCACUCACAGAAGAAGCACCGGCUAACUCCGUGCCAGCAGCCGCGGUAAUACGGAGGGUGCGAGCGUUAAUCGGAAUUACUGGGCGUAAAGCGCGCGUAGGUGGCUUGAUAAGCCGGUUGUGAAAGCCCCGGGCUCAACCUGGGAACGGCAUCCGGAACUGUCAAGCUAGAGUGCAGGAGAGGAGGGUAGAAUUCCCGGUGUAGCGGUGAAAUGCGUAGAGAUCGGGAGGAAUACCAGUGGCGAAGGCGGCCUUCUGGACUGACACUGACACUGAGGUGCGAAAGCGUGGGUAGCAAACAGGAUUAGAUACCCUAGUAGUC